This 1371-nucleotide ribosomal RNA is filed under the name uncultured bacterium. RNAcentral describes it as "bacterial SSU rRNA". It matches the Rfam family "Bacterial small subunit ribosomal RNA", at positions 31 to 1381 of the family's 1533-position model. The record is from RNAcentral.
GAACGCUGGCGGCGUGCCUAAUACAUGCAAGUCGAGCGAACGGACGAGAAGCUUGCUUCUCUGAUGUUAGCGGCGGACGGGUGAGUAACACGUGCAUAACCUACCUAUAAGACUGGGAUAACUUCGGGAAACCGGAGCUAAUACCGGAUAAUAUUUUGAACCGCAUGGUUCAAAAGUGAAAGACGGUCUUGCUGUCACUUAUAGAUGGAUCCGCGCUGCAUUAGCUAGUUGGUAAGGUAACGGCUUACCAAGGCAACGAUGCAUAGCCGACCUGAGAGGGUGAUCGGCCACACUGGAACUGAGACACGGUCCAGACUCCUACGGGAGGCAGCAGUAGGGAAUCUUCCGCAAUGGGCGAAAGCCUGACGGAGCAACGCCGCGUGAGUGAUGAAGGUCUUCGGAUCGGAAAACUCUGUUAUUAGGGAAGAACAUAUGUGUAAGUAACUGUGCACAUCUUGACGGUACCUAAUCAGAAAGCCACGGCUAACUACGUGCCAGCAGCCGCGGUAAUACGUAGGUGGCAAGCGUUAUCCGGAAUUAUUGGGCGUAAAGCGCGCGUAGGCGGUUUUUUAAGUCUGAUGUGAAAGCCCCACGGCUCAACCCGUGGAGGGUCAUUGGAAACUGGAAAACUUGAGUGCAGAAGAGGAAAGUGGAAUUCCAUGUGUAGCGGUGAAAUGCGCAGAGAUAUGGAGGAACACCAGUGGCGAAGGCGACUUUCUGGUCUGUAACUGACGCUGAUGUGCGAAAGCGUGGGGAUCAAACAGGAUUAGAUACCCUGGUAGUCCACGCCGUAAACGAUGAGUGCUAAGUGUUAGGGGGUUUCCGCCCCUUAGUGCUGCAGCUAACGCAUUAAGCACUCCGCCUGGGGAGUACGACCGCAAGGUUGAAACUCAAAGGAAUUGACGGGGACCCGCACAAGCGGUGGAGCAUGUGGUUUAAUUCGAAGCAACGCGAAGAACCUUACCAAAUCUUGACAUCCUUUGACAACUCUAGAGAUAGAGCUUUCCCCUUCGGGGGACAAAGUGACAGGUGGUGCAUGGUUGUCGUCAGCUCGUGUCGUGAGAUGUUGGGUUAAGUCCCGCAACGAGCGCAACCCUUAAGCUUAGUUGCCAUCAUUAAGUUGGGCACUCUAAGUUGACUGCCGGUGACAAACCGGAGGAAGGUGGGGAUGACGUCAAAUCAUCAUGCCCCUUAUGAUUUGGGCUACACACGUGCUACAAUGGACAAUACAAAGGGCAGCGAAACCGCGAGGUCAAGCAAAUCCCAUAAAGUUGUUCUCAGUUCGGAUUGUAGUCUGCAACUCGACUACAUGAAGCUGGAAUCGCUAGUAAUCGUAGAUCAGCAUGCUACGGUGAAUACGUUCCCGGGUCU